This 460-nucleotide ribosomal RNA is filed under the name uncultured bacterium. Its description in RNAcentral is "partial 16S ribosomal RNA". It matches the Rfam family "Bacterial small subunit ribosomal RNA", at positions 338 to 795 of the family's 1533-position model. The record is from RNAcentral.
CCUACGGGGGGCAGCAGUGAGGAAUAUUGGUCAAUGGACGAGAGUCUGAACCAGCCAAGUAGCGUGAAGGAUGACUGCCCUAUGGGUUGUAAACUUCUUUUAUAUGGGAAUAAAAUGUUCCACGUGUGGGAUUUUGUAUGUACCAUAUGAAUAAGGAUCGGCUAACUCCGUGCCAGCAGCCGCGGUAAUACGGAGGAUCCGAGCGUUAUCCGGAUUUAUUGGGUUUAAAGGGAGCGUAGGUGGAUUGUUAAGUCAGUUGUGAAAGUUUGCGGCUCAACCGUAAAAUUGCAGUUGAAACUGGCAGUCUUGAUUACAGUAGAGGUGGGCGGAAUUCGUGGUGUAGCGGUGAAAUGCUUAGAUAUCACGAAGAACUCCGAUUGCGAAGGCAGUUCACUGGACUGCAACUGACACUGAGGCUCGAAAGUGUGGGUAUCAAACAGGAUUAGAUACCCCAGUAGUC